This 53-nucleotide small RNA is filed under the name Tepidicaulis marinus. RNAcentral's name for it is "ffh sRNA". It matches the Rfam family "ffh sRNA". The record is from Rfam by way of RNAcentral. Lineage: Bacteria; Pseudomonadati; Pseudomonadota; Alphaproteobacteria; Hyphomicrobiales; Parvibaculaceae.
AUUGGCCAGGAUCACCACCUGUCGGCGAGGGUUCGCUCACAGGUGCAAAUUUC